GGGCGGUUAGCUCAGCGGUAGAGCGCCUGCCUUACAAGCAGGAUGUCACUGGUUCGAUCCCAGUACCGCCCA
Non-coding RNA from Leptolyngbya valderiana, 72 nucleotides. The record is from Rfam. Lineage: Bacteria; Bacillati; Cyanobacteriota; Cyanophyceae; Leptolyngbyales; Leptolyngbyaceae.